This 215-nucleotide unclassified non-coding RNA is filed under the name Glomeromycota sp. RNAcentral describes it as "partial contains 5.8S ribosomal RNA and internal transcribed spacer 2". The stretch from base 1 to 65 matches the Rfam family "5.8S ribosomal RNA", at positions 84 to 154 of the family's 154-position model. Lineage: Eukaryota; Fungi; Glomeromycota. The record is from RNAcentral.
GUGAAUCAUCGAAUUUUUGAACGCAAAUUGCACUCUCCUCGGAGAGUAUGCCUGUUUGAGGGUCAGCCUAUAAAAAAACGACGUCGUGGCUGUUGCAGGGUGAGGUGCGGCGGAAAUUGGGCCAUCUUAAAUCUUGGGGGUGUAAGAGGAUUAGAAUGUUAGUUUUGAUUACAUGAAGGGGAGUCUAAGAUUUAGUUCGGUACACGUUUAAGGUA